AGCGUACACGGUGGAUGCCCUGGCAGUCAGAGGCGAUGAAGGACGUGCUAAUCUGCGAUAAGCGUCGGUAAGGUGAUAUGAACCGUUAUAACCGGCGAUUUCCGAAUGGGGAAACCCAGUGUGAUUCGUCACACUAUCAUUAACUGAAUCCAUAGGUUAAUGAGGCGAACCGGGGGAACUGAAACAUCUAAGUACCCCGAGGAAAAGAAAUCAACCGAGAUUCCCCCAGUAGCGGCGAGCGAACGGGGAGCAGCCCAGAGCCUGAAUCAGUAUGUGUGUUAGUGGAAGCGUCUGGAAAGGCGUGCGAUACAGGGUGACAGCCCCGUACACAAAAAUGCACAUGCUGUGAGCUCGAUGAGUAGGGCGGGACACGUGGUAUCCUGUCUGAAUAUGGGGGGACCAUCCUCCAAGGCUAAAUACUCCUGACUGACCGAUAGUGAACCAGUACCGUGAGGGAAAGGCGAAAAGAACCCCGGCGAGGGGAGUGAAAAAGAACCUGAAACCGUGUACGUACAAGCAGUGGGAGCCUCUUUAUGGGGUGACUGCGUACCUUUUGUAUAAUGGGUCAGCGACUUAUAUUCUGUAGCAAGGUUAACCGAAUAGGGGAGCCGAAGGGAAACCGAGUCUUAACUGGGCGUUAAGUUGCAGGGUAUAGACCCGAAACCCGGUGAUCUAGCCAUGGGCAGGUUGAAGGUUGGGUAACACUAACUGGAGGACCGAACCGACUAAUGUUGAAAAAUUAGCGGAUGACUUGUGGCUGGGGGUGAAAGGCCAAUCAAACCGGGAGAUAGCUGGUUCUCCCCGAAAGCUAUUUAGGUAGCGCCUCGUGAAUUCAUCUCCGGGGGUAGAGCACUGUUUCGGCAAGGGGGUCAUCCCGACUUACCAACCCGAUGCAAACUGCGAAUACCGGAGAAUGUUAUCACGGGAGACACACGGCGGGUGCUAACGUCCGUCGUGAAGAGGGAAACAACCCAGACCGCCAGCUAAGGUCCCAAAGUCAUGGUUAAGUGGGAAACGAUGUGGGAAGGCCCAGACAGCCAGGAUGUUGGCUUAGAAGCAGCCAUCAUUUAAAGAAAGCGUAAUAGCUCACUGGUCGAGUCGGCCUGCGCGGAAGAUGUAACGGGGCUAAACCAUGCACCGAAGCUGCGGCAGCGACACUAUGUGUUGUUGGGUAGGGGAGCGUUCUGUAAGCCGUUGAAGGUGUGCUGUGAGGCAUGCUGGAGGUAUCAGAAGUGCGAAUGCUGACAUAAGUAACGAUAAAGCGGGUGAAAAGCCCGCUCGCCGGAAGACCAAGGGUUCCUGUCCAACGUUAAUCGGGGCAGGGUGAGUCGACCCCUAAGGCGAGGCCGAAAGGCGUAGUCGAUGGGAAACAGGUUAAUAUUCCUGUACUUGGUGUUACUGCGAAGGGGGGACGGAGAAGGCUAUGUUGGCCGGGCGACGGUUGUCCCGGUUUAAGCGUGUAGGCUGAUUUUCCAGGCAAAUCCGGAGAAUCAAGGCUGAGGCGUGAUGACGAGGCACUACGGUGCUGAAGCAACAAAUGCCCUGCUUCCAGGAAAAGCCUCUAAGCAUCAGGUAACAUCAAAUCGUACCCCAAACCGACACAGGUGGUCAGGUAGAGAAUACCAAGGCGCUUGAGAGAACUCGGGUGAAGGAACUAGGCAAAAUGGUGCCGUAACUUCGGGAGAAGGCACGCUGAUAUGUAGGUGAAGCGACUUGCUCGUGGAGCUGAAAUCAGUCGAAGAUACCAGCUGGCUGCAACUGUUUAUUAAAAACACAGCACUGUGCAAACACGAAAGUGGACGUAUACGGUGUGACGCCUGCCCGGUGCCGGAAGGUUAAUUGAUGGGGUCAGCCGCAAGGCGAAGCUCUUGAUCGAAGCCCCGGUAAACGGCGGCCGUAACUAUAACGGUCCUAAGGUAGCGAAAUUCCUUGUCGGGUAAGUUCCGACCUGCACGAAUGGCGUAAUGAUGGCCAGGCUGUCUCCACCCGAGACUCAGUGAAAUUGAACUCGCUGUGAAGAUGCAGUGUACCCGCGGCAAGACGGAAAGACCCCGUGAACCUUUACUAUAGCUUGACACUGAACAUUGAGCCUUGAUGUGUAGGAUAGGUGGGAGGCUUUGAAGUGUGGACGCCAGUCUGCAUGGAGCCGACCUUGAAAUACCACCCUUUAAUGUUUGAUGUUCUAACGUGGACCCGUGAUCCGGGUUGCGGACAGUGUCUGGUGGGUAGUUUGACUGGGGCGGUCUCCUCCUAAAGAGUAACGGAGGAGCACGAAGGUUGGCUAAUCCUGGUCGGACAUCAGGAGGUUAGUGCAAUGGCAUAAGCCAGCUUGACUGCGAGCGUGACGGCGCGAGCAGGUGCGAAAGCAGGUCAUAGUGAUCCGGUGGUUCUGAAUGGAAGGGCCAUCGCUCAACGGAUAAAAGGUACUCCGGGGAUAACAGGCUGAUACCGCCCAAGAGUUCAUAUCGACGGCGGUGUUUGGCACCUCGAUGUCGGCUCAUCACAUCCUGGGGCUGAAGUAGGUCCCAAGGGUAUGGCUGUUCGCCAUUUAAAGUGGUACGCGAGCUGGGUUUAGAACGUCGUGAGACAGUUCGGUCCCUAUCUGCCGUGGGCGCUGGAGAACUGAGGGGGGCUGCUCCUAGUACGAGAGGACCGGAGUGGACGCAUCACUGGUGUUCGGGUUGUCAUGCCAAUGGCACUGCCCGGUAGCUAAAUGCGGAAGAGAUAAGUGCUGAAAGCAUCUAAGCACGAAACUUGCCCCGAGAUGAGUUCU
RNAcentral lists this ribosomal RNA (2773 nucleotides) under Escherichia sp. MOD1-EC6149. RNAcentral's name for it is "bacterial LSU rRNA". It matches the Rfam family "Bacterial large subunit ribosomal RNA". The record is from RNAcentral. Lineage: Bacteria; Pseudomonadati; Pseudomonadota; Gammaproteobacteria; Enterobacterales; Enterobacteriaceae.